RNAcentral lists this ribosomal RNA (253 nucleotides) under uncultured bacterium. RNAcentral's name for it is "partial 16S ribosomal RNA". It matches the Rfam family "Bacterial small subunit ribosomal RNA", at positions 524 to 776 of the family's 1533-position model. The record is from RNAcentral.
UACAGAGGUGGCAAGCGUUGUUCGGAAUUACUGGGCGUAAAGGGCGCGUAGGCGGCCUUCUAAGUCAGACGUGAAAUCCCUCGGCUUAACCGGGGAACUGCAUCUGAUACUGGAUGGCUUGAGAUUGGGAGAGGGAUGCGGAAUUCCAGGUGUAGCGGUGAAAUGCGUAGAUAUCUGGAGGAACACCGGUGGCGAAGGCGGCAUCCUGGACCGAGAUUGACGCUGAGGCGCGAAAGCCAGGGGAGCAAACGGG